This 237-nucleotide long non-coding RNA is filed under the name Phasianus colchicus (ring-necked pheasant). RNAcentral describes it as "lncRNA (ENSPCLG00000018229.1)". The record is from RNAcentral. Lineage: Eukaryota; Metazoa; Chordata; Aves; Galliformes; Phasianidae.
AUGCAGCAUAUGGACUUCUUAACUUGGAAGAGCAUCAAGACACAAAGGGAUGUGUUCUUAACUGAGAACUUCAGAAGGCCACAGUGUAGGUGGAUGCUCCCUAUCACCAUGAAACUAAGUUAUUUACAAAGCAUGCAUCUCUCUGAAGAUUUUUUUGUAAGUGGUUGGAAUGAAGCAUGCUUCUGCAUGUCUCAGAAAAGAGUGUGUGUGUAUGUGUGUGUAGGAGUUGUAUUAAAU